RNAcentral lists this transfer RNA (73 nucleotides) under Yimella lutea. RNAcentral's name for it is "tRNA-Gln". It matches the Rfam family "tRNA". Rfam says of the family: Transfer RNA (tRNA) molecules are approximately 80 nucleotides in length. Their secondary structure includes four short double-helical elements and three loops (D, anti-codon, and T loops). Lineage: Bacteria; Bacillati; Actinomycetota; Actinomycetes; Micrococcales; Dermacoccaceae. The record is from RNAcentral.
UCCGCUGUGCGCUGCUGGUUGCGCGGCCAGACUUUGAAUCUGGCGGACGCAGGUUCGAAUCCUGCCGGCGGAG